AACGGUCUAUACCUGCGGUACCUGCGGAAGGAUCAUUAUCGAGUUGCAAAACUCCCUAAACCAUUGUGAACCUACCUGUACCGUUCCUUCGGCGGGCGGCGUCAAGCCCUAACCCGGUCCCCUUUACGGGGGAUGGACCCGCCGGAGGCUCCUAAACUCUUAAUUUUAGUUGGCAUCUCUGAGUAAAUCAAAAUAAGUCAAAACUUUUAACAACGGAUCUCUAGAUCGGAAGAGCACACG
This 240-nucleotide unclassified non-coding RNA is filed under the name soil metagenome. RNAcentral's name for it is "partial contains 5.8S ribosomal RNA, internal transcribed spacer 2, and large subunit ribosomal RNA". The record is from RNAcentral.